UAAUACGAAGGGACCUAGCGUAGUUCGGAAUUACUGGGCUUAAAGAGUUCGUAGGUGGUUAAAAAAGUUGGUGGUGAAAUCCCAGAGCUUAACUCUGGAACUGCCAUCAAAACUUUUUAGCUAGAGUAUGAUAGAGGAAAGCAGAAUUUCUAGUGUAGAGGUGAAAUUCGUAGAUAUUAGAAAGAAUACCAAUUGCGAAGGCAGCUUUCUGGAUCAUUACUGACACUGAGGAACGAAAGCAUGGGUAGCGAAGAGGAUUAGAUACCCUCGUAGUCCAUGCCGUAACGAUGUGUGCUAGAUGUUGGAAAUUUAUUUUCAGUAUCGCAGCGAAAGCAAUAAACACACCGCCUGGGGAGUACGACCGCAAGGUUA
This 372-nucleotide ribosomal RNA is filed under the name uncultured Alphaproteobacteria bacterium. RNAcentral's name for it is "bacterial SSU rRNA". It matches the Rfam family "Bacterial small subunit ribosomal RNA", at positions 521 to 896 of the family's 1533-position model. Lineage: Bacteria; Pseudomonadati; Pseudomonadota; Alphaproteobacteria. The record is from RNAcentral.